RNAcentral lists this ribosomal RNA (253 nucleotides) under uncultured bacterium. RNAcentral describes it as "partial 16S ribosomal RNA". It matches the Rfam family "Bacterial small subunit ribosomal RNA", at positions 524 to 776 of the family's 1533-position model. The record is from RNAcentral.
UACGGAGGGUGCGAGCGUUGUCCGGAAUCAUUGGGCGUAAAGGGCGCGUAGGUGGCGGGACAAGCGUGCGGUGAAAGCCUGGGGCUCAACCCCGGGUCGGCCGUGCGAACUGUUUUGCUUGAGCACUGUAGAGGCAGGCGGAAUUCCGGGUGUAGCGGUGGAAUGCGUAGAGAUCCGGAAGAACACCGGUGGCGAGGGCGGCCUGCUGGGCAGUAGCUGACACUGAGGCGCGACAGCGUGGGGAGCAAACAGG